ACCCAGUCCAACCCACCCACCCCCACACACCUUCUCUUCCUUAUGCAAGACUUAACAAGAACCCUAGAGAACAAUUGGAAAAAAAUGAAAGAGCGCUUUCUUUUAGAGUUUUAAGGCCCAAAAGUAGUGCAUCAGAAAAUGGAGCAAAACCUCCCAAAAAAUCAGCUCAAAUAUUCAUGAAAACAGAAUCAUAGAGCAGCUCUGAAACCUCACGAUUCCAACACAUUAAAUCAAAUAACACCACCUCAAACACCUUGAAACGUUAGCAAAAAAACAACCAUAAAAAUCUGCCUUGAAACAGCCAAAAUCGGACAUUAAAAUGACCCAAAACUCAGUGAAAAUCGAUUUAAAGAAGCAGCAAAAACGCAGCAGUAAAAUGACCUUCCAAUCUCCAUGAAAACCGAUCAUUUUCUACUUGAAACAGUUCCAAAAUCAGCCUUAAAUCCAGCUAAAUACCUCAUAAAAUCAUCCCCAAAAACGCCAACGAAAUUGAACUAAAAAUCAGUUGCUUUCCUUCACCGAAAAUGCCCAAAAAUCUAGAUCUAGAUCAUCUCCAUAUCCCACCCUAAAUUUAGUAAGAACAGCCAUAAACUAAGCUCCAAAACUCUCCAUAAACCACUAAUAAACUAACUUGAGAGCACCGCAAGAGUUUAUUUCUGAGUUUGGUUUCGGAAGCUUUUAUUUGAGGUUGUCGACGAGGUUUUCCAGUCAUCGAAGGUCAGCCCGUGGUUUCUGUUCGAGUUCCGUCCAUUGUCGGGUUUCAAGACAAAUAGCAGCUUCACUUUUGAGGUCAAUCCUCUCCUUUUGUCAUAAUCUUUUAUUUCUUGAAAUGAAGAUAAUAUGAGUUCUUUGUGAAUUUGGUGUUAUUGUGGAGUUUAUGGUGUGUUUAUUAAAUAACUUCUUUUGUUUAGAUGUUAAUGCUUGGAACUUAGUGUAAUUUGGAUUGAUUUGACCGAUUUAGGUUGUUAAGAAAAGAUUAGAAUGAGAAGCAAAAGGCACUAUUUAUGAUAAAUUAUUUUUGAAAAUUGGGUUAUGGGAAUAGACUAAAGAAGCAAAUAACGGCAUGGUCUUAGUUUAUCGAAACAGAAAUUAGGCUUAAAUGUUUAUUGUGUUACUUAUUUUCUUUGCCCGUUAGUAGCAUGUUUAGGCAUACAACACUCGGGUAGGCAAGCCUUAGUAUAUUUGUUAAUUUUGAGGCGAGAGGUCGCUCCUAUAGUUAAAUUUAUCUGGGGAAAGCCCCGAAGACUUUGUAUAUGUUUUCUUCCGGGGAAUCUCUUGUAGUACUUAUAUUUGGAGGCUUAAAGUGAAACUCAUAGUAUUUUUAGUUUUAGUUUUAUUUUCCUUUUAUUAGGUGGGAACGACCUCGAGCCUCUUUUUGAUUAUUUAUUUUCUUUUCUGUGUUUUCUACCUCAAUUGAAUAUUUUAAAGCCCACUAGAUUGAGUACGCAACCGUACUAGUUACGGGACUUGGGGAGUGCCUAAUACCUUCUCCCCGAGUCAAAUGAACCCCCUUACCUGAAUCUAUGGUGCAGACUUGAUUUUAGAGUCUGAAAUGUUUCAAAAGGAAAAAUUAUUUUUUUAAAAGAAAAACGGAGACCUGACACACCGAAAUCAAAGUCAGGUAGCGACUCUGAGUUUAUUUCCUUUUGAACAACAAUUUUGUCACUUUUCAAAUGAAAAAACCCUUUUAAAGCUUUUUACUAAAUCCUUUUAUUAUUUUAAGAGGGUUAAGUAAAGUUUGGUUACAAAAAGGGUGUGACAUAUCUGGAGACUCUGCUGGGGACUUGCGGGUUUGAGCUAGUACUUGAUCUUGUUGGCUUUUAGGAUUUUUGGUUGAGGUUUUUAUUUGUUUUGUUUGCUUUAUUCCAUUUUUAUUUUGUUUAUGUCGUUUUAUUUGCUAGUUGCUUAUUUGUUUACAGUUUUUUUCCUUGUGUGUUUACUGCUUUAUAUCUAUCAUCAUUUGCAUAACUUAGAGUCUUCUUUCUGUAACAAGUCUUCCAGAGUACGUUUGAGCGUACACGGCCUUUUUGUGAGUCACCCGUGUCUUUAGGGGAGUGGUGUGGGAGCAUGGAGUGGGCGGAUAGCUAGAGCAGCCGUCAUCGACCACGUGCCGCCCCGAAUUGCUUUGUCUAGUGAACCCCAAACUUAGGUCAGCCUUAAGUCACUUUUAUUUGCAUCAUGUCAUUUACACCUAGUAGGGCUCGGUCCUAGGUACCAUGUCCCUUUUGUAGGGAGCCUAUCCAAAUUAUGUCAAAAAUGGUCUUAUGGUCCAAAAUGACAUUUAAUUAUCCUAUGUGUUAAAUGUUGCAUCUUUGAGGGUAACAAGGUAAUUUGGUGGACCGAUGUUUGGAAACAAGGGUCAAAAAUGAAGAAAGUAGGGCACACAUCAUUUUUCUUUCAUAGACUUUCAAAAAUAAAAAAAAAUCAAAUACAAAAAAUAAAAAAAAUAUUUUACACUUUUCGAUCAUUUUCCGAAAAUUCAAAAAAUGAAAAUACAAAAUACGAAAAUUUUACACUUUGCCAUAUUUUUCCGAGAAAUUCACAAAAAAUGAAAAUGAAAAAUCCAAAAAGAUAUUACACUUUUCCAAGAAAUUUAAAAAAUAAAAAUGAAGAAAAAUCCAAAAAAGAUUUUGCACUUUUCCAUUAUUUUUCAAAAAAUUUAAAAAAAGGAAAAAAUUCCUAAAAAGAUUUUACAUUUUUCUAUUAUUUUCCAAAAAUAGAAAAUCCAAAAAGGUUUUACAUUUUCUAUCAUUUUCCAAAAAUUUAAAACAAAAAAAUUGAAAAUAGAAAAUCAAAAAGAUGUUUCAUUUUCCAUCACUUUUUCUCAAAAGACAAAAAAAGUUUUUUUCAAAUUAGAUGUAAUUUUUUGAAUUCUAUCCUAUAUCCAAUCUUUCCGAACUACGCGAACCUGAUUUUCGUCUCCUGGGGCGAGAUACGUAGGCAACCCACCCAGGGCUCGGUCUUCUUAGUGUCUUAGGUUCUUGGCUUUGUGGGUCUUUGCCAUUUCUCGCAUGUCCAGCCACUUUUGGCCACAUCGGCCAUUCUUGCAAAAUGGGGUCAUUCGCAAAAGUGGUUCAAUAACCCAUGUUUUAGGCCCGUUCCUUUUUGAGUUUGCAUCUUUAGCCGCUUCUGGCCACAUUGGCCAUUUUGUGGAAUGGAUCAUUUCUGCAAAUUAAUUUUUAAGCCAUGAUUAGUUGGAGUUUGAGUUCAUAUAUGUUUUAUUGAGGUAUUUCCAUAUCUUUGAGAUCACCUUAUGUUGAGUUUACACUUCUAGCCACUCUUAGCUACGUAGUCUAAUUUCCAAAAAAUAUCUCAAUGUCUUGCAUGUGUCCAAUAAAAGGAAUUGUGGUCUCACACUGUCUUGAGUCACUAACUCUAUUUUAUCUUAUUUUUUCCAUUCAGGUAUGGAUUAAUUUUCUAGAGUUUGAGCAUGACUAAUACCUAGGAUCAUUCUAGUCAAGACCAUUGCAGGCACCGGCUGCUUGAGGAAAUUUUUUAUUCUUUUAGUCUAUCUUAUGUUAUCUUUUAAUUUUUAGUCCUGUACAAGUCUGUCAAUCUAGUUAAGAUUUCGAGUCUUUUAUUAUAGUACUUCUUGUUUGUAUUUAAAAAAUCAAAAAGGUUAUAAAUGCAAAAUCCAAAAAGAUUUUUGUCU
This 3652-nucleotide long non-coding RNA is filed under the name Nicotiana benthamiana. RNAcentral's name for it is "long non-coding RNA (NBEN_LNC040922)". Lineage: Eukaryota; Viridiplantae; Streptophyta; Magnoliopsida; Solanales; Solanaceae. The record is from RNAcentral.